This 74-nucleotide transfer RNA is filed under the name Plasmodium reichenowi. RNAcentral's name for it is "tRNA Tryptophan". It matches the Rfam family "tRNA". Rfam says of the family: Transfer RNA (tRNA) molecules are approximately 80 nucleotides in length. Their secondary structure includes four short double-helical elements and three loops (D, anti-codon, and T loops). The record is from RNAcentral. Lineage: Eukaryota; Apicomplexa; Aconoidasida; Haemosporida; Plasmodiidae.
AUGUCUUUAAUUUAAAGUAAAAAUAUAAAUUUCCAAAAUUUAUAAUAAAGGUUCGAAUCCUUUAGGACAUGUAU